UCGGAUAUGGUGUAAUGGCUAACAUUACCGCCUCUCACUGAACGCAGCGUUCGCGGUAGCUCGGGGUUCGAUUCCCCGUAUCCGAA
Non-coding RNA from Trametes coccinea BRFM310, 86 nucleotides. NCBI's taxonomy places the organism in Eukaryota, Fungi, Basidiomycota, Agaricomycetes, Polyporales, Polyporaceae. The record is from the annotation of a GenBank genome assembly.